UACUCGCUCCUUUUCUUCACUUUCUGUUUAUCAUAUUUAACUUUUUCCUUUUCGUUCAGGUAUAGUGCAGCAAACAUGGAGGCCACACUUACCCGGCAACAAAAAUGUGACGCCGAUGGGUUUUCCUGCCCUGUGGCGCCGCAAUACUGGACCUGGGGAAACCACAUGAAUGAUUGUAAGAGGCCCCUUCAAGAAGGAGCGGUCCCAAAUGCUUUGUGGACUCCGAAGUGCCCCCAGCCUCUCUCCGAAGACCUCGACUAUCAGCACAACGUCUACAUUCCCGGCGCCACGUCUGGCUACAGCACCCUGAAGCUGACGCCCAGAGGGGAGCUGGACAUGUACAACACCUUCUCAACUUUUGGGAAGAAAAAAAAAUUCAUCUCAAACUACGAGCCGUCUUUAGAUGGAGACGAUGGCAUCAUAACCAAUUCCAUCUUCAGAUAAAAAGUCAGCUCCUGCUCAUAAAUUUGAAAAGAGGGUAUUAGCAAACCACAGACUAAUAUAUGCACUUCAGUCUUUAUUUAUAAUAAGCUCAUGUAAAUAUGCUGUGAAUUAAGAAAAAAAAAAGCUUCAUUUUGAAUUUUAUACUUAUAAAUUGAGCUAUCCUGCAUGAAGCAACAAUAGAAAGCGUGUCUACCACUUUGGCUCCAUCAGAACAAUUUUUGCUGACAGACGGUUAAACUCAAUUACAGUUGAUGUAAAUGGAUGCUGAAGUCCUCCUGUCCUCCUUUCAGUUUCUCUCCUGUCAAGCAUGUAUCUCCAGUUAAACAAGAUUUUUUUUCUCUUUUAUUUUGGGGUGAUAGACCAGCAAAACACCUUUUAUAUGUUCCCAAAGUUGACUUUGCAUCAUCAAUGCAUUUAAAUCAAAGCUAAUUGCUUACGCAUAAAAAAAAAAAAAAAAAAGACUGCAUACGCAACGUUUGCAAUUUUGUGUGAUAAAGAUUAGUGCUGCGUCCAAGCCUUUUGCUUGUGCGUGAUCACUCUGACUCAUCAAGGUUAUCUGAUGAUUAAAGGUUACAAACAAAAGUCAAGAGAUGUGACACUGUUGUAAACAACUCCCCGACAGCCAGGAGAUGAUACAUUGCACACAUGCUAGAGACUCUUUAACAACUCAUAUAAAUAGUAUAUGUAUAUUUCUAUAUAUAUCUACCAGGGGUUGAUGUAAAGCCUUCACAUCCUUUGAUACACAUCCAGCUCUCUUUUUAUAUUUUACCUAUGUACAGUAGAUCAGCUUUGUCUUUCCUCCUUCUGCCGUGAACAAGUUAAAUAAACUCAAGUUUAACAGAACUGUGGAUUUUAUUUUGGAAAACAUCUAAAAUAUGCAAAAAUGAAAAAAAAUACAAAAGGUUUUUGACUUGGGGUUCUUCUUGACUGGGUUAUUCAUCUUCAAAAUUAACACAUAAAACCAUCAACUGAUUUUGCUAACAUGGUACAGUCCGAUUUUCCCUCCUAAAUGGAUAUAAAAUAUAUAUAUAUAUUAUUCAUUUAGAACUUAAAAUUAUAAAAAUAUGAGUCUUUUAACUGAGAAACACUUUUUUUAAUUUGCACUUUUUUAUUCAAGCAAAAACAAAAAUCUAUGGGAAAUAACAGAUUUAAACAUUAAAACCAGUAAUUUGCAUUUUUUUAAAACUCGUUAGUUGUUUGUGGUUAAAAAUGUGUGUCAUAAUAUUUAUUCAGCUAUUGUUUGAAGUGCUGUGGGGAAAAAAAUAUCGAAGGUGUAGAAGCAAACUUGUGAUUGGACAUCUUUUAGCAUUUAUCACAUGUAGAAAGAAAGGCAAAAUAAAGUAGUAGACACAAUAGGAAAAGAAACGCACAAAGUUAUACAAUUAUUUACUUCCUGAUCGGUUUUAUACUUUUUUUUUAGCAUGAUUGUCUUUAUAUCUGUGGUUUUUAAACCAUACUGCUGAUACUCCCAG
Molecule: long non-coding RNA, 1916 nt
Organism: Oryzias javanicus (javanese ricefish)
Lineage: Eukaryota; Metazoa; Chordata; Actinopteri; Beloniformes; Adrianichthyidae
Source: Ensembl